AGUCUGCCUUGAAGAUCGGAGUGCUUGCACUCUGUGAAACAAGAUACAGGCUAGCGGCGGACGGGUGAGUAACACGUGGGUAACCUGCCCAAGAGAUCGGGAUAACACCUGGAAACAGAUGCUAAUACCGGAUAACAACAGAUGAUGCCUAUCAACUGUUUAAAAGAUGGUUCUGCUAUCACUCUUGGAUGGACCUGCGGUGCAUUAGCUAGUUGGUAGGGUAACGGCCUACCAAGGCGAUGAUGCAUAGCCGAGUUGAGAGACUGAUCGGCCACAUUGGGACUGAGACACGGCCCAAACUCCUACGGGAGGCAGCAGUAGGGAAUCUUCCACAAUGGACGCAAGUCUGAUGGAGCAACGCCGCGUGAGUGAAGAAGGGCUUCGGCUCGUAAAGCUCUGUUGUUGGUGAAGAAGGACAGGGGUAGUAACUGACCUUUGUUUGACGGUAAUCAAUUAGAAAGUCACGGCUAACUACGUGCCAGCAGCCGCGGUAAUACGUAGGUGGCAAGCGUUGUCCGGAUUUAUUGGGCGUAAAGCGAGUGCAGGCGGCUCGAUAAGUCUGAUGUGAAAGCCUUCGGCUCAACCGGAGAAUUGCAUCAGAAACUGUCGAGCUUGAGUACAGAAGAGGAGAGUGGAACUCCAUGUGUAGCGGUGAAAUGCGUAGAUAUAUGGAAGAACACCGGUGGCGAAGGCGGCUCUCUGGUCUGUUACUGACGCUGAGGCUCGAAAGCAUGGGUAGCGAACAGGAUUAGAUACCCUGGUAGUCCAUGCCGUAAACGAUGAGUGCUAAGUGUUGGGAGGUUUCCGCCUCUCAGUGCUGCAGCUAACGCAUUAAGCACUCCG
Molecule: ribosomal RNA, 843 nt
Filed under: uncultured bacterium
Lineage: Bacteria
Description: bacterial SSU rRNA
Rfam family: Bacterial small subunit ribosomal RNA
Source: RNAcentral